AUGUCUUCUCAGUCUUCUCAGCUUAUUCUGGAAGUGAUUAGGGCUCCUUUGAAGCUCUGUAUUGUUUCUGUUUCUUCUCUGUUGUUGACGAUUCUCUCUGUUCAUCUCAGCAAUUUUUUUGUGAAUCUAGCUGUUUCAAUGCGAUUGAGGCCUAAAAGGACUUGUUGCCGAGUUGUGUGUUUUGGAGGAUUUGAAAUACAGAAAUUUUCUAAUCUCUUUUUGUUUUUAAGAGGGGAUCUCACUUGA
Molecule: non-coding RNA, 246 nt
Organism: Vicia faba (fava bean)
Lineage: Eukaryota; Viridiplantae; Streptophyta; Magnoliopsida; Fabales; Fabaceae
Source: the annotation of a GenBank genome assembly